This 217-nucleotide long non-coding RNA is filed under the name Solanum lycopersicum (tomato). RNAcentral describes it as "partial TCONS_00075187". The record is from RNAcentral. Lineage: Eukaryota; Viridiplantae; Streptophyta; Magnoliopsida; Solanales; Solanaceae.
UUAUAAAGAGAGAGGAUAGAGUGAAGAAUUUCUCAUUUUUGAAUGAGAUUUGGUAGAUAAAUUUGCAUAACAUAGGGUUUGUGAUAUAGUUGCCCCCUAAAUAGCUGUUGGUGGCUUUAUUAUUAACUCUAUAUUGUGCAUCUUUGUUCUAUUCUUUUGAACAUGAGUUUUCUUCACAAUGAACCUUCUAUAAAGUACACUUGAUAUGAGCCCUUUG